RNAcentral lists this ribosomal RNA (254 nucleotides) under uncultured bacterium. RNAcentral describes it as "partial 16S ribosomal RNA". It matches the Rfam family "Bacterial small subunit ribosomal RNA", at positions 524 to 776 of the family's 1533-position model. The record is from RNAcentral.
AACGUAGGAGACGAACGUUAUCCGGAGUUACUGGGCGUAAAGAGCGCGCAGGCGGUCGAUCAAGUCGGGUGUGAAAGCCCCCGGCUCAACUGGGGAGGGGCACGCGAUACUGAUCGACUCGAAGGCAGGAGAGGGUAGUGGAAUUCCCGGUGUAGUGGUGAAAUGCGUAGAUAUCGGGAGGAAACACAGUGGCGAAGGCGACUACCUGGCCUGUUUCUUGACGCUGAGGCGCGAAAGCUAGGGGAGCAAACGGG